CUGAAAUGGUGAAACCAUUUUUUUUCAAAGGCAGCCAAGAAAGAAUCCCGAUUCCCUAAUCGUAAAAGAAACACAAACCCUUUUCUUCCCUUCUCCAAUUGCACCGCAAAAACCAUAUCUAAUCAUCCCAUAUCAACCCCUAGACUCUUCACUCCAAAGCAUACUCAGUCCACUCUCCAAUUGAAAACUCUUUACCCCCAUCCUCUCAAGCAAAUCUCGAUUUGUCUUUCCAAUCCAUGUAUUUUUUUUCUUUCUUUUUUGAGGGCUUUUGGUUUUUGAUUUGUUUACUUUUUCUUUGUCAUUUUCCGAAAUAGAUUGUAGUAUUUCAUUGUCACUGUGCGUUGUGUAUAUUUUUGAGAAAUUUGCUUCGUCCUUCCUGAACUUAUUGUCCUAGUAGCAACUUUGCCCCCAACAUUUUAUUAUAGUAGUUGCAAGAUUAAUAGAAAAUGUCCAAAUUUUUAUUAAAUCAUGGCCCUCGUUUGUUCAAUUUUGUGAAGCUAGAUUCUGCUUUCCAAUUUGGAUGGUUGUGGUUAUAUUCUUUUUGCUUUCUGUUUAGCUGGUAAUAUAACUAUUUUCUUAAAGAGAGAGAGAGAGAGAGAGAGAGAACUGGAUUUUGUUGUAGUAUAAUUGAUUUGGGAAUUUAUGUUUAUGAAAUUACAUUUGCGAAUUGUGAUUUAUGAUAAGUGAUUUAUGUUUUAUGAGUUAUGAUUAUUGAUUUGGAAAUUUAAAAAACUUAAGAAUGAGAUAAUAUUGUAACGUUUUCAAAACAUGAGACCCCAUAAAAUACAGUUGUCUAAAUUUACAGUUACAAAGUGACUGAGUAAAGUUGUAGCGUAUAUUUUUUUUUAACAUUUUGGGUUAUAUUGAAGUAUAUUUUCAUAUGUAUAUAAUUUUGAUGUUUUAGUUCAUUUACAUAUAUAUCGAAUAACUUUUAAUAUUAUUAAUCAAAUUUUAAUAAACGAUCGGGCUAUUACAAUAGUUCAUUGUCGACGGUAAACAGUCAACCUCCGUUCUAGCAGAACUUCAAUCUUGGAUUCACGCUUGAUGGUAUGGUCUAUAAUUAAGCAACAAUUUACUUAAACUUUUGUAUUCUUUUUAGCUUGUGUUUCUAUUGGUCAUCUUAUUAUUUAAAAUAUAUCAAAAUAAAUUACACGUUCUUUGGGACGUAAGAAGAAGGCCUUGAAUUUCCAACUUGUUUGAAAUUGUUUGUGAUAUUUUGGCCAAGUAAUCUUUGAAAUACAUGAAAUUAUUGGCUAUGGCUCAUAAUUUUGUCUAUUUUAUUUAUCUAAUGCCUAUUUUAAGACUAUAGGGGCUUGAUUAUUUUUACAAUAUGGGGGAGACAUUACAUGCUUUUUAAUUUCCCAAGUUCAUAUUUUUUGGCACUUGGGAUGUUCUUAAAUUCGUUGCCCAUUUAUGUUAUAAUUAUUUGGUUCUUUGUUGAUUAUGGGUGAAUGACAUUCAACAAUAUUUAGUUGUUCACCAGUUAUGAGUACCCAUAUUAUAUCCAAGCAUUUCAUUGAAUUGUCAUGAAUCCUUGAAGAAGGAAAAGAAAAAAAGCUCUAAACUAAUAUUAGUACAAUUGAACUAGAAAUUCAAUAACUCUAAAUAUUAUUUGACCUGGUCGGAUCAACAAUGUUUCGAAAUAAGAAUUCGAAUAAAUGGUAAUUGAAGAACCAUAAGAUUCUUCAACUAAUGAAUUCUCUUAUGAUGCUUGUUCUCUGUAUUGAAGUUAAGCCAUCGAUCAUCGCUAGCUAUAACUAGAUUGAAUCCCUAUAUUGAAAACUUGUUAGGAUAAUACAUGAGGCUCCGUCACUCUCGAUGUUGACCAUUUAGAUAUUAUUCUAUCAUACAUAUGUGUGAUGAUUGCACGGUGUUAUUAUAUGUUUGCAACCUAAAGUUUGCAAGACUACUUGCUCAUAUUUUAGAUUAUGACCAUAAUUUUUAGAUGAGGAAAUUGCAUCUCAUGUCACUUUUUGGAUUGGUAUUUUUAAAAAUGUCACAUUUUAAUAAUCUUUGCAAGAAUGUUAAUUUUGGACUUUUUUACCCUCUCAAAAAUCUAAUUACCUUGCAUGUCAUUAAUUAAAGUUGAUUUGACUAGAUGAAAAAAUGGUACAAAAAACGAAAAAAUAUCACAUCAAAUCAUCCACCCUUACUUUUUAAAACCAUUUUCCAAUUUUGUACGUAUUCCCAUUUUGCAAGCCCACUUGCCAAACCUAUUUCACAUUGCAAACUAAACCCAUUUCACACAAAAAUGGUGAAGAAGAAUUUGAAGAAUUUCCAUCCCCACAAUAAUCACUUUCCCAUCUCACGAUCGAUAACCCACACCUAGUUGGAAUACAUUUCAAGUUCAAUAUCUGAUUGUUCAUAUUUGGCUCCAAAUUCAAAUCGAGGUAAAUGCCACUUUCAUUUUUUUAGAUUUACAUGUUUUGAAUAAUUUAUACUUUAAUUGUGUUAUGGUUGGUUGCAAUCUGAAGUUGAGGGGGUGGGGGGGAAUUCGUAUAUAUGGUUUCGAUUUAAUAAGUGACCAUAUUCAAGCUCCUAAAAAAAUUGAGAUUUUGAAACAUUUUCCAUAUAAUGUUGGGUAGAAUUAUUUAGUUUGUUUGAUUUUUUUGGUUUAAGAAAAAUCUAGAUUUGUUCCUUUAUUUUUUCUCCUUCUAUGUAGUAUUCCUAUUUUUUGAGUUAGAUUUGUUCAUUUAGACUUGUAACUAGGAUUACUUAAUUUUUAACGACAUAUAUGCUCUCUGUUUAUGAAAAAGCGAAAAUAUGUGAAAAAUGUAGUGCGCUCUUGUUUAAUGAAUUACAUUUAGGUUGCACUUGAAAGUAAGAAUAUAUGAAACUUUAGUACACUCUUGUUUAGUGUUAGUUGUAUGAUUUUGACAAUUUUACUUGAUUUUGAAGUUUUAUAGAGAAUUACUUUCCGAAUAUGUUAUUGUUUUGUGGGAUAUCGUUGAAGUAAAUUAUUGUCAUACUGUGUUAUGAAUUUAAGUUUGCAUGAAGUUUGUCUCAUUUUUUAAUUUAUAAAUCAAUUUAGUUACAUUUAUUUGUAAGCUUGUUUAUUUAUCUAUACAUUUUGAUAUUUUUUAUCGAGUCAUUGAUUCAAUUUUGAAUAAAUAAGGAGUUAUGUUUACUCUGUGAUUAUGUUUUCUCAAAGAUUUGAUUAUUCAAUUUGUAAGUACAAUAAUUUAAAUGCAUAUGUUGGGAUCUUUUUUAUCUUUUACUGACAGUGAGUUGUUAAAUCGAUUUAUGGUCUGUUCACUUAUCGUUUGGAUUGAAUUUUUGAGUUUAAUUUGAAUGUGGGCUAAAUUUGUGAGUUCAUAUGUUUUUGAAUUUGAUGUAAUGUGAUUUAAUUUGAGGAUUUAAAUAUUUGAUUCAUGAUAACAUAUGGAUAAUUCACAUAUUGUUCUUAUGGAAUCCAUAUGUCGAGAUAAACUAUCAUUCUUGACAGCUAUGAUAUGAAAUUCUCGAUAGUUGGUUAUUGUUCCUCAACAAUUAUUAUACAAUGUCAAACUUGUUUCAUAUGCUCUUCCACGUGUGUUACAAAGUAAAUAUAUUAAAUAUUAUAAUUUGAUUUUUGGUAUUUGUUCAUGCUACCGAUUUUUCAAUAGAUUAACAAACUAUAAUGCCAUUGGAGGAUUGCUUGAAGGAUACGUCAGCACCAUCUUCUAGUAAAGGUUGUGCCCUCAAAUGCUACCGAUCUAAUUGAAAAUGAAGAAGUGAUGGUGAUGAAGAAAUGAUGCUCAACGCAAAUUCGAAUACUGUCUGCUUUGAAACCUUUUCCAAUGCAAUAAAGUUACAUAGUGCAUUUAUCUUUGAUAAAGAGGUAUUUUUCAUGGGUUUACUUUGGUAUCGUGUUCAUAUUAUUGUACAAAAGUUCUUCACCUUAAUAUAGUAACAAAAAUUAAAAUAUUCGGUUCAGGCUAUGUUGUUCAGUCUUCAGGCACUAACGCUUACUUGCGGUCAUAUGUUCAUUAAUUUCCCUCAAAGUAAGCUAUACCUUUCUUGAGACUAGAACUCCAUGCACGAGGAGUGGUAAAAAACGAAGAAAAACAUGAAAUAAUUGAAUUUUGAUGAACUAAAAUUAUUGUCGUCCCUCUUUGAAGGGUUGAGAAUCGUGAAAUUUUCUAAGUUAUGAAACUCAUGUACCUAAUCUUUGUAAGUAUAACUUAUUUUCGUAUAUGUGUAGUUUAUUUUGUAGUUUUGCGAAAAUAUAGUUGUUUAGCCAUUGUGUAACUUGAUUAUGUGACUGUUACUAGUUGUGUAUUAUAAUUAUGGUCAAGUUUAGGUAUAUUUAGCCAAGUGCAAAAAAUUAUAUGGACAUUCUAAUUUCUUUUCAAUUUAAUCAACUGCCCUGUGUGAUAUAAUGACCAUCCUUUACUUGAAAUGAUGAGAUGUUGCAUGAUGUGGAAAUCCAAUGAAUAAAUUUGGAUGAUGUUAGUGAUUCAUAUACAUUAAUCGAUCGUCUUGUCAUGGUUACUGUAUCUACGCAUUGCUAUAUAUCCAUUAUAUUAUCUAGUUUGUUACAAACCGUUAUUUAUUUUUUGAUUUGUCUUGUGUCAAACUUGCCAACAUACAAUUGUCGAAAAUUAGUGCCCAAAAAGUUUGUUAAUACUAUGAUAAACACUAUUUGGUGAUUGUGUACUGAAUGACCAUAGUAGGGACAAUUUUCCAAGAAUUUGAUUAUAAACAUGCUACAAUUCUCCAAGAAUUUGAUUAUAAACAUGCUAUUUGGUUUAUAUAUGUGCUUAUAAGUCUCCUAGAAUUGUCGUUUCCAUUUAUGCUAUGUUUGCUAGAUGUAGGGUGUAUGUUGUUAAUUUUUGUGAUAUGUGAACUUAUCAAUUUAUCAUACAUCAUUAUCUCUAUCGUUUAUUUUGCAUGCGACAUUUGGAAUAUUGCGUUCAUCCAUGGGAAUCAACCAAUCAUACGUUCUGAAUGAGCCUCCGACAAUAUCUUAUUCUUCCCCGAUAUUUUCCAUCAUAGUCGUAUUGAAUGAUAAGGAAGUCACCUCUCUGAAGGUUUCACCUCCUAAGAUUAUUGUCAUAAGCUUAGACGAUUCUGAUGAAGACAAUGGGAGGAACAAUCAAAUGUCGAUGACUAUUGAUGUGGGCAAAAUUUGUGUACAUCAUUGACUAUAAUUAUUUAUUGUAGUUUUGUCAUGGAUUCAUAUGCUAACGUCUGUACAGAAUGUUAUGCAACAACAUAUCCAAUAUGCAUCUUAUUUGUAGUUAAGUUUUCAAGUUUGCAACCAACUGUCUAGAACGACAAGAUCCUUGUGUCAGGAACGAUAGUUUAACUUUUGGGACGUGAUGAAAUA
Molecule: long non-coding RNA, 5311 nt
Filed under: Olea europaea subsp. europaea
Lineage: Eukaryota; Viridiplantae; Streptophyta; Magnoliopsida; Lamiales; Oleaceae
Source: RNAcentral